CUGGUAGUAGCUCAGCGGCAGAGCGCUUGGUUAGGGGCCAAGUGUGCAAGGGUUCGAGUCCCUUCUACCGGACCA
This 75-nucleotide transfer RNA is filed under the name Streptomyces griseofuscus. RNAcentral's name for it is "tRNA-Pro". It matches the Rfam family "tRNA". From Rfam's summary of the family: Transfer RNA (tRNA) molecules are approximately 80 nucleotides in length. Their secondary structure includes four short double-helical elements and three loops (D, anti-codon, and T loops). Further hydrogen bonds mediate the characteristic L-shaped molecular structure. tRNAs have two regions of fundamental functional importance: the anti-codon, which is responsible for specific mRNA codon recognition, and the 3' end, to which the tRNAs corresponding amino acid is attached (by aminoacyl-tRNA synthetases). tRNAs cope with the degeneracy of the genetic code in two manners: having more than one tRNA (with a specific anti-codon) for a particular amino acid; and 'wobble' base-pairing, i.e. permitting non-standard base-pairing at the 3rd anti-codon position. The record is from RNAcentral. Lineage: Bacteria; Bacillati; Actinomycetota; Actinomycetes; Kitasatosporales; Streptomycetaceae.